Chinchilla lanigera (long-tailed chinchilla) is the source of this 1424-nucleotide long non-coding RNA. RefSeq lists it as uncharacterized. The transcript has 3 exons. The record is from RefSeq and is a predicted model, not a curated record. Lineage: Eukaryota; Metazoa; Chordata; Mammalia; Rodentia; Chinchillidae.
CCAGCCUACUAUAUCUUGCUUCUCCAAAUUCCUUCUUAGGCAGUCAAGAUCCCCGGAGACAGAAGACUAUAGAGGAGGGAAGGAACGUAGUGCAGAGUGAGCCUACAGGGAUUCGAGCGCAGCCCCACCCUGCUGGUCCCUGUGACCUCAGGCCAGUCCCGCUCCUCCUGAUCUCAUCGGCAAAUGGCGGCGGGAAACCAGAUAACCCUGAAGUGGCUUCAGAGUCUAAUCCUCUGUACUUCUGACGGCCAGUUAUGAAAAAAGGUUUGCUAAAGCCUGGCGAUCCUUCCCAGCAGCCAGCGAGGACUCAUUACCAGAAGCACCACAGCUAAACAGAGGGAAAUGUUUAGGUGGCAGUUGGCAGUCAGAAGGAUCCUAAACGACUCUGGAGCCGAGCCGCUGGAGUGGAAGGAACGUGGGUGUCAGCUUACCUCGUACAGGCCAGCUGCCCACCCCGCAGGCAGCAGGCUCCUGGCCCUGUGCUCUGGUCCCUGCCAUGAGCAAUCGGCUCAGUCCCAGAAACAGGGUACACCAGGGGACUUGACCUAGAGGACCGCAGCCUUCCAUCCCUCUCUAGCCAGCAGGCAGAUAAGGAAACUGUCCCAGCACAGCUGAUUCUCGUAGAUCUCAUUCAUUUCAGAAUUCCAGAGAGAAAGGUUCCCUAAUUCUCUCUGGUCGUUCAUUCCAGUCUCGCAACCCUAUCAACCAAGACCUGCUUCAUCUCCCACCCUAAUCUCCCCUGAUGCAAUUCUAGCCUCUUGGUGUUUUUUUUUUUUCUCUCUCUCUCUUCACUAGAAAUGAAAAACAGCUGGACCCCAUCUUCUGCAUAAUAACCGUCCAUAAACUGGGAGGCCAUUAUUAAAUCAGCCGGGUCCUUGUCUUCCCUAGGUUAAACGACGCCAAAGCCUUAAGCUUCCCCUCAUGGUUGCUGGCUUCUAACUCAUUAUUUUCAUGACUUUCUGUGUCACUCAAAUUGUCAAAGCCCUGACUAGAAAUUUUAUGAGGAUUUGAGAGAGAGAGAGAGAGACAGAGAAAGAGAGAGAGAGAAUGUGUGUGUAGGAGGGAAGUUUAGCUCACAGUUUAAACGGUUAAUUUUUAAAACUUUUUUAUUGUGAAAGAUAUCAGAAAGCAUUUACGUAACACACAUGCACAGUUUAAAACAAAAUCAGAUGAGAACUCGUGCACCCACCACGAGUUAUUUUUUUCCCUCUAAACAUUGACUUUGGGUUUGAUUUUGCUUUCUUUGAGAGGAGAAACAGUGAUUAUGUUUUAAAUCACAUUUACAUUUAAUUUACAUCAUUACAAUUUAAACCAAUGAUACUUGUUUUUAAACUCUGACAUCCAUGUUUAUCAGAGUGUCUUUAAAGCCUGACAAUAUUUAGCUGAGACAUCAGAGGUUUUAUACAAUGGCCUGUUCUAGAAAA